Molecule: transfer RNA, 72 nt
Filed under: Mangrovibacterium diazotrophicum
Lineage: Bacteria; Pseudomonadati; Bacteroidota; Bacteroidia; Marinilabiliales; Prolixibacteraceae
Also listed under: 4 other names
Rfam family: tRNA
About the family: Transfer RNA (tRNA) molecules are approximately 80 nucleotides in length. Their secondary structure includes four short double-helical elements and three loops (D, anti-codon, and T loops).
Source: Rfam by way of RNAcentral
GCCGUGGUAGCUCAGGGGUAGAGCGCAUCCUUGGUAAGGAUGAGGUCGUGAGUUCAAUUCUCAUCCUCGGCU